RNAcentral lists this ribosomal RNA (95 nucleotides) under uncultured bacterium. RNAcentral describes it as "partial 16S ribosomal RNA". It matches the Rfam family "Bacterial small subunit ribosomal RNA", at positions 1390 to 1482 of the family's 1533-position model. The record is from RNAcentral.
CCGCCCGUCACGUCAUGAAAGUUGGAGACGCCUGAAGUCGGUCCGCGAACUCGCAAGAGACGCAGCCGCCGAGGGUGGUGCCAGCGAUUGGGACG